Molecule: ribosomal RNA, 1041 nt
Filed under: Triticum aestivum (bread wheat)
Lineage: Eukaryota; Viridiplantae; Streptophyta; Magnoliopsida; Poales; Poaceae
Description: partial small subunit ribosomal RNA
Source: RNAcentral
AUGGUAGCUGACAUCAUUGGUAUUUCUAUGUCAUUGCUGGAGCAGUUGGCAAAAAUCAAGCCACCUAGUGAAAUGUUAGGUGACAAUGAUGCCAUGACCAUGAGUGGUGGUGUUAAGAAUGGUGUUGAUGUUGAUUUGCGAAGACAUAUACUUGGAUUAUUUGAUCCAAAUUCAAGGUUGCUUGAAUAUCUGGUGAAUGCUAUGGUUAAAUGUACAUUGAGCACCGACGAUGCUAACCUAGUUGGGCCAUCAGAUGUUGAGAUGGAAGUUAUAGGUUCUAUUUGUGCUUUUCUUCAUGUCAUGGGGAAUACGUUUCAUCUAGAUGGAAUUAUGACUACGCUGGCCUACCAUACUGAAAUUGUUCCUGCAUUAUGGAAUUUCAUUAAGCACUGUCAUGAAAACCAGAGAUGGCAAUCUUUUUCCAAGUGUGUGUCUCUGUGGCUUGCAGAUGCUCCUGGUUGGCUUCUGCCAGUGUCCAUAUUUUGUCCUAUAUACAAGCACAUGUUAGAGACCCUUGAUAAGAUUGAAUUCUGUGAACAAAAGCAGCCUUUUUCACUCGAAAGUUUAAAAUCGCUGAUUCUUAUUUUAAAGGAGGUUUUAUGGGAACUCUUUUGGAUUAUUCCUUCAUAUAUCUCUUCUACUCCGACUGUAUUAUCCAAUGUUUUAUCCCUAAACAAAAUGUCGUUCGAGAAUCUCAAGAGCAGAGCUAGGAUUGAGUUGGCUGAAUUACUUAUACAGUUGCAAGACUGGAACAACCGUUGCCCAUUCGCUUCUGCUAGUGAUUUCUGUCGAGAAGAAAUAAGUGAACAUUUUGUCAAUCAGGCGAUACUUUCCAACACUCGAGAAUCAGAGAUUAUAAAGAUUGCUCCUUUUUUGGUGCCUUUUGACAUUAGAGUCAAAAUAUUUACUUCGCACUUGGAAAAUUCUAGACAAUCAUCCCGCCAGCCCCGUCGGUUGGAAGUACGAAAAUCUCGACUUCUAGAUGAUGCUUUUGCUCAGCUAAGUGUGCUCUCCAAAGAAGGUCUUAAAUCACAAGUAUGA